UGGGGAAUAUUGGACAAUGGACGCAAGUCUGAUCCAGCGAUGCCGCGUGAGUGAAGAAGGUCUUCGGAUUGUAAAGCUCUUUUACUUGGGAAGAAAAAUGGUCGACUAAUAAUCGAACACAAUGACGGUACCAAGAGAAUAAGCGCCGGCUAACUAUGUGCCAGCAGCCGCGGUAAUACAUAGGGCGCGAGCGUUAAUCGGAAUUAUUGGGCGUAAAGAAUUUGUAGGCUGUCGUGUAAGUUGAAUGUGAAAUCCCUGGGCUUAACCUAGGAAUUGCGUUCAGGACUACACGGCUAGAGUAUGUGAGAGGUAAGUGGAAUUCCUAGUGUAGCAGUGAAAUGCGUAGAUAUUAGGAGGAACACCAGUGGCGAAGGCGACUUACUGGCACAAUACUGACGCUGAGAAAUGAAAGCGUGGGGAGCAAACGGG
This 429-nucleotide ribosomal RNA is filed under the name uncultured bacterium. RNAcentral describes it as "bacterial SSU rRNA". It matches the Rfam family "Bacterial small subunit ribosomal RNA", at positions 355 to 776 of the family's 1533-position model. The record is from RNAcentral.